AGCUAAUAGAUACCCGGGUAGUCCACGCCGUAAACUAUGGAUGCUAGCUGUUAGAGGUAUCGACCCCUCUAGUAGCGAAAGCUAACGCGUUAAGCAUCCCGCCUGUGGAGUACGGUCGCAAGACUAAAACAUAAAGGAAUUGACGGGGACCCGCACAAGCGGUGGAGCGUGUUGUUUAAUUCGAUGGUAAGCGAAGAACCUUACCCAGGCUUGACAUCCUUGGAAUUUUGGCGAAAGCCGAGAGUGCCUUCGGGAACCAAGUGACAGGUGUUGCAUGGCCGUCGUCAGCUCGUGUCGUGAGAUGUUUGGUUAAGUCCAUCAACGAGCGCAACCCUUAUAGUUAGUUGAAUUUUUCUAGCUAGACUGCCCUGGCAACAGGGAGGAAGGAGGGGAUGAUGUCAGGUCAGUAUUACCCUUACGUCUGGGGCUACAAACACGCUACAAUGGCCGGUACAAAGGGCAGCCAAGUCGCGAGACGGAGCAAAUCCCAUCAAAGCCGGUCUAAGUUCGGAUAGCAGGCUGAAACUCGCCUGCUUGAAGCUGGAA
This 546-nucleotide ribosomal RNA is filed under the name uncultured bacterium. RNAcentral's name for it is "bacterial SSU rRNA". It matches the Rfam family "Bacterial small subunit ribosomal RNA", at positions 767 to 1331 of the family's 1533-position model. The record is from RNAcentral.